RNAcentral lists this small RNA (82 nucleotides) under Flavobacterium glaciei. RNAcentral's name for it is "Flavo-1 RNA". It matches the Rfam family "Flavo-1 RNA". The record is from RNAcentral. Lineage: Bacteria; Pseudomonadati; Bacteroidota; Flavobacteriia; Flavobacteriales; Flavobacteriaceae.
CCCUAGCCCUGAUAGCAGUGGAAAUCCUUUUUUGUUUUUUCUUUAAAAACAAAAAAGAUUGCAACGGAUAGCAGGAUUAAGC